RNAcentral lists this ribosomal RNA (498 nucleotides) under Bombus vandykei. RNAcentral describes it as "partial 16S ribosomal RNA". The stretch from base 375 to 498 matches the Rfam family "Bacterial large subunit ribosomal RNA", at positions 2473 to 2597 of the family's 2925-position model. Lineage: Eukaryota; Metazoa; Arthropoda; Insecta; Hymenoptera; Apidae. The record is from RNAcentral.
GGCUUAAUGAUUUUAAUUUUAAGUCUAUCUGCCCAAUGAUUUUAAAUUUAAUGGCUGCAGUAUAAUUGACUGUACAAAGGUAGCAUAAUCAAUUGUUUUUUAAUUAAAAACUGGAAUGAAAGAAUUAAUGAGAUAUAUACUGUCUCAUAUAUAUAUAAUUAAUUUAAAUUUUUAGUAAAAAUGCUAAAAUAAAUUUAUGGGACGAUAAGACCCUAUAGAAUUUUAUAUUAAUAUAUAAAUUAAAAAUUAUUUUGUAUAUUAAUAUUUAAUUGGGAGGAUUAAUAAAUUUGUAAAACUUUAUUUUAAAUAAAAACUUUGAUUAGAGAAUUUAUAAUGAUUAUGUAUUAUGAAUUAUAAGAAUAAAUUACCUUAGGGAUAACAGCGUAAUAUCUUUUUAAAGAUCAAAUUGAUAAAGAUGAUUGCGACCUCGAUGUUGAAUUAAGAUAAAUUUUAAAUGUAGAAGUUUAAUAAUUGAGUCUGUUCGACUCUUAAAAUCUU